Long non-coding RNA from Apus apus (common swift), 365 nucleotides. RefSeq lists it as uncharacterized. The record is from RefSeq and is a predicted model, not a curated record. The transcript is spliced from 3 exons. NCBI's taxonomy places the organism in Eukaryota, Metazoa, Chordata, Aves, Apodiformes, Apodidae.
CUGGAAACCUCCUCAUCACAAGCCCGAUGCCUUCGCAGCCCCUCAGCCGCAAGUGCUUUCCCUCUUUCUUAGGGGCAAUAUGAAAGACAAGGAGUUUUCUAAAGAAGGAGGAUCCAGGAAUUCUCAAUACUGCAAGUAGGUUCCUCAGCAUUUGCAUGAUGGAAGCCACAGCAUAUCCCUGACCCUGCAGUGGCAGUACCUGAUGACUGACACACUGGCCACUGGUGAACUCUGGAGCUCGCUCCUUGAGAAUUCGGGAAGUACUUACACACAGCAAAAGGUGAAGGAAGACCAACACUUCCAUUACAUGUUAAAAUUAAAUUAAAGUUGAUUUAAAUGAAAUAAAAUUAAAAUUUAAAAGAUGA